This 8159-nucleotide long non-coding RNA is filed under the name Manihot esculenta (cassava). RNAcentral describes it as "long non-coding RNA (MESC_LNC004806)". Lineage: Eukaryota; Viridiplantae; Streptophyta; Magnoliopsida; Malpighiales; Euphorbiaceae. The record is from RNAcentral.
UGGGUUUAUCAGAUCUUUGGAUUCCGUAUCUACUUGUGCGUGUGGGUUUGAGGCUUGUGUCAUAGGGUUCCGCGUCAACCUCCAUCAAUAAUGAGAGUACACACUUUUCCAUUAACCAAACACCUAGUGUGAAAUAUGUUUUCCCAUUGUUCUAGGCUUUUUCCUUAACCUGCAUAUUCAGAGCACGCCUAGCAACAAGCAUCUCACAAUGUGCAGCAAGCAACGCAUUAUUAACCAACACAUCCGAAUCAUCACAGUCAUUAUUGCAAUUAGGAGUUUUUUGAGGUAUUCUUAUAGAAGUGGAAGCUUGUGAGACAUUCAAACUCUCCAUAGUUUCAGUCAACCUCUCAAGAGUCUUAUUGAGCCUUUGUAACUCACCACUGACUGACUUCUUAAAGAGCUUAUAAUCGUUACCCAUAUUCGAUUCACUUCCAACAGUACGAUCCACCACAUUCUUGUCUUUACUCAUCCUACCUUAAAUCAACAUAGAACAAAAAGAACUAGCAAAUAUUGUGUUAAAAAAAGUACUCAAGUGUUUGCACUCUUACCAUUCUUUUGUUGAUUCUUCAAUUGCACUUCAGAAACUAAUGUCAACCAACUAACCACAAGAUGCGUUUAAUGAAACAAAGAAGAAAACCUAAAGAAAGAAGGAAGCACGCAAAACUAGAAAGAAGACACUGACAAUUUGGGAAGUAACACACGAAUUAGGCUUUGUGCUACUUGAAAAAUAUCACCUAGAGUAUAGACCCAAGUAAACAAUACUCCAGCAAUAUCAAGGAAGCAAAAGCAAGCUUAAACCAAAAAAAGAAACUUAGAAAUCAAAUAAAAACGAACCUGGAAAAAAAAUUUGCAUUUAAUUCACUUCAACGCAAAUUAAAUAUGGAUCUACUUAAAUCUACCCAAAAAGGAAAGUAUCAAAACCCCACAAAUAGAAUCAGAAAGAAAAAUCUAAAUGUCACUCAGAUCAGAAACAUGGACGAAAAUUCUGGUUUUAAAAGAAGGAUUUGACAUCAAAUCGAUUUAGAUGCAGUUGCCUUAAAUAUGCACCUUAAGGAAUAGGCAGAUUUCUUUUGUCUCCUAAUCUGGAUUCAACCCAAUUCAAAAUUCAAACUUGAUUCCCAUAAACUACAGCAAUCAAUUGAGAUAGGUAAGGAAAUAUAGAUGAAAAAUGAAGCAUAUCACAAUUUCGGCCAGAUCAAGAUAAAUAUGGCAAAGGCGAUUUUUUUUUCAUUUUUCUCUUUUUUUUUUUUUGGAUUUCGAAUUUUUCUUUCAAAAGAGAUUAUGUGAUAAUUUAUCAAGAAGGUGCAGCCAUGAAUACAAAAGCUUUCAAUGAAGAAAAGAAAACUCAAAAAAAUAACUCUAGAUCCUGAGAUAAAUAAGAAUUUACCUCACUUUGGCUCUGAUACCAACUGACGCGGAACCCUAUGGCACAAGCCUCAAACCCACACGCACAAGUAGAUACGGAAUCCAAAGAUUUGAUAAACCCACCUCCUAUGGCACCCCAAACUUAGAGAAGCUGAAACAUCAAUGAUCGAAGGAUUUAGAUGAGAAUCCGACAAACGCCACAACGAAUAGUUGAUAAGUUGGCCAAGAUUCCUGGUGCAAUUGAUGAAAGCAAAUCCUUACUCUCACUCAAAGCAAUACACGCCAAAGGCAUGAAAGAAAUUCUGAAAAGUUUGAUUAAAAGCUCCUCUUACAAUUGUUUCUUAUCCUUAUAUAGUAAGGAGAAAAACAAAUAAAACCCUAAACACUCUUCUUGGGUCUGACUUAAACACCUAGGCCCAAGCCCAAUCACACACUAAAAUAACGCAUAAGUAUUAAAACAUAAGCCCAAAACAUGGUCCAACACUCUAAAAAACUUAAAAGAUAAAAUAUGGCCAGAAUACAAGCCCAAACAAAGCUAAAAUAAGACAAGUGUUAAAUCAUAAAAAUAUAGCAAGCCCAUCAUAUCAAUGCUGAAUAAAUUAGACAGCGCUAUCUCCAUUACACACCUUAAGCAAGGUGAGUAGCUUAGGUGUGUCUUCAAGCUUCACGAGACAUUUGCCAAAGGCAAGCUCAGUCAAUUCUUGUGUUACUUGUUCUUGAAUGUGUAAGUUCAUAGCUGCUUCAAGCUUCUUAGCUUUGCUCCUUGUCACUGGUCCACUAGGGAGCACCAAUGGAUCCUUGCUUCCUUGAUUAUCAUGUGAUUGGGUUUGCUGGUUCGUAUCAGGUGGGUUUAUCAACUCUUUGGAUUCUGUAUCUACUUGUGCGUAUGGGUUUGAGGCUUGUGCCAUAGGGUUCCGCGUCAGACAGUGUCAAUUGAUGAUUUGAGAUCCAAAAGAGGGCCAAGUUAGGGUGUGUGUAAGCUUGGUUUCUAUUUUCUAUGCGUAUCCUUUUAUUCCCUUUUCUUUUUAUCGUUUUUGUGUCGUGUAACCGCCAUCUUGCUACAGUACUCUAUGCUGUUAUCAUGCAGGACCAUACAUACAGACGUACUGUUCUUCCCUCUACUAUAAGGCGGCUAUUGAAUUCCUUUUGGAGUCUACCUUAGCAUGAUCCUGAAUGUGUGGGAACUGUUGCUUAGUGGGCUUAGCUGAUCGACCGAACCGGGUCUUUUUCUGUUGGACUCAGGUCCUAUCCAGUCAGGGUCGUUGGUAUGAGCCUUAAGCCGACCUCUUGAAAAUGAAUCAAUGCUUUGGGUUGUUGCAAGGGUCAGGCCUGACCUUUCUAUCAUGGGCCUGACCGCAGCUUUAGCAUUCGAGGCCCACAGGUUAUUGGCUGGUGAUAUCUCUUAUCAAACAGCCGGUCACAUAAUCGCCAAAUAUAUUUAUCUUUAUCUUUUUAUAGUAUAAAAAGAGAAAAAUCACAAAAGUGAAAGAACGGUAUUCUUUUACACUACUCAAACUCUAAAUAAUUUAUUGCAUUCACCUCGUUUUUCGGUAUACUGACUUGACCGUCGAAAUGGCCAUCGUGAACACCCGCCACCUCACGUUUUGUUUCUCGCAGAUCUAACCAAUCACAGUUAGGGGUGAGCAUUCGGUCGGUUCGGUUCAAAACCGAACCGAAUCGAAAUAACUGAAAACCAAAUUACAGUAUUUUAUAUAAACCGAACCGAACCGAAUAAGAGGGAUAAUCGAAUCGAACCGAUCUGGUACGAUUCGGUUCGGUCGGUUCGAUCGGUUAAACCGAUUUUCAAACUUUUCAUCAUUUUUUUUUUACAUUGAUUUUCAGUGUUCUAAUUGUAUUAUUUCUUUGUCCCAAUUCACAAAUUUUUCCAUAGCUUUCUUGAACACCAAACGGUCUCAGAGUUUAUCUGUAACAGCAGUAGAUAGCAACUCGAUCGUAAAUUUCAAAGAAUUUAUGGCUCAUCAUGUUACAGAAUUGAGUUUCAUAUAAAUCGAAGAGGAAAAGUGUUCAUGAAAGAACUCCGGCAACAAUCAAUAGCAAAUCACAAAUAUUUACUUACCUUCUACAGUUUACUCAAGUUCAACUGUGAGUAGCUGGAAGCGCGACACAGAGACUCGGAGAGGAUUGAGAUCUGUGGAAUAAGCAUGACUGAGAGCAACGGCCGACGCCGAUGGUGAAUCAGUCCAGUCGAGAGGAAUUUGGAGGCACAAGCGCGAGAAUCUCGCGGCGAGAUGCGUGCGUGACUCUUCUCAGAAAGAGACCGGAGGCUGGACGGUGGAUGGUGGAAGCGCGGCUGAAAGUGGAUGGAGCUGAGAGGUGGAAGCGCCGCUCAGAGGCGAGGCAUUUUGAGGUGAGGGCGUUAGCGUUAGGGUUGAGCACAGAGAUGAGAGAUGGAGGAGCACAGAGAUGAGAGAUGGAGGAGCACAGAGAUGAGAGAUGGAGGAGCACAGAGAUGAGAGAUGGAGGAGCACUGGGUCUGGCGGCAGAUACGGAGAGAGAAAUUUGUUUUAGAUUUAGGGCAGGGAAGGGAAAGGAAGGUAAUUAGGGAAUUAGGAAACUAUUGAAACGACGUAGUAUAGGUGAUUUCGGUUCGGUUCGGUCUAAUCGAAAUUUUUACGUCUAAAAUCGAACUGAACCGAAAUCACCGAUUUUUUAAAAAUUUCAAACCGAACCGAACCGAAAAAAAAUAAAACCGAACCAAAUUUUUAAAAUUAAUCGGUUCGGUCGGUUAUUUCGGUUUAAACCGAAUACUGCUCACCCCUAAUCACAGUACAGCUCUAUUUUUCGACUACAUCAAUUAUUAUUUUAAAGGUAAUAAAUUAUAUAAUUUUUAUGUGUUUGUUGACUUUAUUUUCCAUUUAUCUAGCUCUAGUUCUUCGUCACACCAAGAGAAGCUUAAUGAAAUUCGUUUGUCUUUUUUGUUUUCUUUAACAAUAAAUUUGUAUAAAUAUUAUUAAAGUAUAUGAUUAAUAAUAUAUAUGUUGCAUGAAAUUAUAUAUUAUUUCUAUUAAAAGAAAGCUUUUUUUCUAUUAUGUUGAAAUUUUAAGUUAACUAUAUUAUAAUGUUUUAUUCAUAUGUUUUUAAAUUUAAUUGCCUGUAAGGAUUUUAAAUUUGAUUGCCUGUGACAAAUGCGAACCAAAAUAUUUAUCAGAAUAUGGAAAAGUUCCAUUUUCUUGGGAUGGAAACUACUAUCUGCUCAGGAACUUGAAUUCACAAAACAAAAUAAAUAACAAAUAUUGAUACACCUUCAAGAAGUCUAACACUGUAUAUGGGUCAAGCUCUACAAAACUUAGAAGAAUAAGCAAUGCCUGAUAUCCUUACACCAAAUACGAGGACAUGAGAUUCCAGCUAAUUUUCAUGUGGCUUGGCAUUGAUGCCACAAACCGAAGAAGAUCCGGCUUUGCAUCAAGCGCUUGGCAGAGGUUUUCAGACUUUUGAUUUAAGACAUCAACAAACUUUGCAAUGUUUGGAAUUACAAGCUCCCUACAAUGGAGGUGUAACAAGGGGACCUUUGACAGCACACUUCCCUUCUGAACAUCUAGACCUUCUGGCCUACGCAACUUGUAUGGUUUCCCAGAAAAUGGCUCAAUAUCAACUUGAGGCAUUUGCUUCCAUCUCUGGUGCACAAACCAACCAUACUUGUAGUCACCAACAAUGGGAGUCCCAAGAGCUUCAGCACAGUGCACCCGCAGCUGUAUAAAAUAGUGAAUAAACAAAACCAACAUCAAUCGAUAUCCAUAUACAUGUCAUAGAGCUUUUCUAAGGCAAUCCAACAUCAACCCCCUCACAGGUCACAACAACACCCCUCACCCAAAAGAAAAAAUAAAUUAAAAAUUGAAAUAGCUGUUCAUAUACCUGAUGCUUUCGCCUAGUGAGUGGACGUAGCUCAAUCCACGAGCAUCCAUUUAUUUUAGGACCUAACACUCGGUAUUCAGUUAAAGCCUCAAAACCCGAACACUGGGCCAGGACAACUCUGUCUGUCUUCCCAUCAUUAAGAAGCACCUAUAAUAACCAAUAAUUGAAACGAAUCAUUUGCCCUUGAAGAUGUCGCAAGAGAUGCCAAUUAUCAUUUCCAAACACACAUACACAGAGAAAGAACCUUUGUAAGUGGAGCCCGAAUUAAGCCUUCCUUUUCCUUGGGAGUGCCUAUAACCAAUGCCCAAUACCUUUGAUACAUUGCUUCACGUGCAUCAUUCCAAGCCUAAAAUUUCACAAAAUGUAUUAUUGUUAUAAACCAACAGGCGGAAGCAUUAAACCAUCUCCUUAAUGAUUUUAUGAGACACAUACCCUUGUUUACAUAACAAGACCAAUAACUGAAGUACCUUACAACAGGAAAUUGGAUUAUUUUGGUCAUUAAAUAACCACUGAAGAAGACCAAUGCUUUCUCUUGUUCUCCCCAAUAAAAUGAGACCACUGCUCUCUGCGUCAAGGCGCUGCACCUGGUAAAAUUAUUUUCAUGAUAAAAACUAUAUCCUCAUUUUGGAGAUUUCCAAGAGCAGGAAAACGCUAAUUCAAAAAAUAAAUAAAUAGAACAGAUAGAGAAGUCCAAAAUAGCAAGUUUCCCGUUUGGCUAACAACUACUUUGAAAAUGAACCUGACCUCUCUAUGAUUAUGAAUCACCUGAUGAGGAGAGCAACUUACCAAUUUAGGGCCUUCAUCAUUAUCAUAAGACAAAGCUGCAGCCGCUAAUGCAUCCAUGCUAUUGUGAACUGGCAGAUUCCCCUAAUAAAUUUAUGACACAAAAUAAAUCAUCAGGCAACAAAUUUGUAAAGACAAAGAUCAAUAAGAAAAAAAUCAUGCGGCUAAAUAUUCUAACCUUGACGGGUAGUUUUGGGGGUUUGUUUAGGACAAUUAGAGCUGAAUCCUACAAUUUGAAAAACAAAUUGUUAAAAUUUAUUAACAUAAGGCAAAAAAGACUUCAAGCGCAUACUUUGGCACAUGACAUCAACCAAGCUAAAACUCGCAUAUGCACAAUAUGCAGAAAUCUCAGUUUAGAAAAGGGAAAUGUAAGUCAAAUUCAACGUGCCUUGUACUGGACAAGCCUUUGUAAAUAUUCAAUCUCAUCAGCAUUUGGACAUAAAGUUCCACUUGGUAUAACACCAAACCUCUUUGAAAUGCUAGUCUCGGCUACUGAUACAGGUAUAUGAAUUCUUGCUCCUUCCUCCAUAACAUCACUAGGUUUAAUCUGUAUGCGAGCUAUGUUAUAAAAUAUUAAACCCACAUAGAAUCACACAAGUUUACAGAGAAAUGAAAAGCAAAAAGAGAGAGAGAAGCAUAGUAGACUAUAAAUACAAGCAUACCUGAUACGGAUCCAAUAGGGCAAAUUUCUAACAAUGGUGUGGAGCAAACUUAUGUCAUUCAAAUGGAUCUAAAAGGAGUUCAAAAUCAUAUUCAUAUGAUCCAUAUAUAUUUGGGGCGUGCUUCAACUCAUAUGGAGCAGAUUUGGUACAACAUUUGCAAUCAUAGGCUUAGGGAGCCUAAUCAAACCUAUGGGCUAAAACUAAACAAAGGGAAGCCUAAAGUGAAGAUCAAGAAAAGCUUUUGUGAAUAUUCAGCUUUAUUAUGAUGGGCUUGCUAUGUUGUAUUAUUUAAAUACUUGUUUUAUUUUAGUUUUAUUUGGGUUUGUAUUCUGGCCAUAUUUUAUCUUUUAAGUUUUAAAGUGUCCGGCCAUGUUUUGGGUUUAUGUGUUAAUACUUAUGUGUUAUUUUAGUGUGUGAUUGGGCUUGGGCCUUAUGUGUUUAAAUUAGGCCUAAGAAGAGUGUCUUAGGGUUUUAUUUGUUUUCUCCUUACUAUAUAAGGAUAAGAAACACUUGUAAGAGGCAACUUUUAAUUAAAAUUAUCAGAAUUUUUUUCAUGCCUUUGGCGUGUAUUGCUUUGAGUGAGAGUGAGGAUUUGCUUUCAUCAAUUGCACCAAGAAUCUUGGCUAACUUAUCAACCAUUCGUUGUGGCGUUUGUCAGAUUCUCAUCUAAAUCCUUCGAUCAUUGGUGUUUCAACUUCUCUAAGUGUGGGGUGCCAUAGGAGGUAGGUUUAUCAAAUCUUUGAAUUCCUUAUCUACUGUGCGUGUGGGUUUGAGGCUUGUGCCAUAGGGUUCCGCGUCAGUUGGUAUCAGAGCCAAAGUGAGGUAAAUUCUUAUUUAUCUUAGGAUCUAGGGUUUUUUGAGUUUUCCUUUUCUUCCUUAUUGUUUUCAGUGAAAGCUUGUGUGUACAUGGCUGCACCUUCUUGAUUAUUAAUCAUCACGAAAAAAAAAUCGAAAUCCUUAAAAAAAAAGUCAAAAAUCAAAAAUCGUCUUUGCCUUAUUUAUCUUGAUCUGACCAAAAUUGUGAUAUGCUUCCUUUUUCGUCCAUAUUGCCUUACCUUAUCUCAAUUGAUUGCUGUUAUUUAUGGGAAUCAAUUUUAAAUUUUAAAUUUUGAAUUGGGUUGAAUCCAGAUUAGGAGAUAAAAAAAAUUUUGCCUAUUUCCUAACGUGCACAUUUAAGGCAAUUGCAUCUAAAUUGAUUUGAUGUCAAAUCCUUCUUUUAACACCAGAAUUUUCGUCCAUGUUUCUGAACCGAGUGAAAUUUAAAAUUUUUUUUUCUAAUUCUAUUUGUAGGGUCUUGAUACUUGCCUUUUUGAGUAAAUUUAAAUAGAUCCAUAUUUAAUUUACUUUGAAGUGAAUUAAAUUCAAUCUUUUGUCCAGAUUCGUUUUUAUUUGAAUUCUAAGUUUUCUUUUUGGUUUAAACUUGCUUUUACUUCCUUGACAUUGCUAGAGUAUUGUUUGUUUGUGUCUAUAAUCUAG